UGGGCUUCACGCAUGCUACAAUGGCCGGUACAAAGGGCUGCGAUACCGCGAGGUGGAGCGAAUCCCAAAAAGCCGGUCUCAGUUCGGAUUGGGGUCUGCAACUCGACCCCAUGAAGUCGGAGUCGCUAGUAAUCGCAGAUCAGCAACGCUGCGGUGAAUACGUUCCC
This 167-nucleotide ribosomal RNA is filed under the name bacterium dulse 2. RNAcentral's name for it is "partial 16S ribosomal RNA". It matches the Rfam family "Bacterial small subunit ribosomal RNA", at positions 1210 to 1375 of the family's 1533-position model. The record is from RNAcentral.